CAAGUCAACCUGCACGCUUGUCAAAUGGAUAUGGACCUAAGAACACAAUGUCAACUCAAAGGCAUGCUGAAGGUAAGGUAAAUUCCAUGAGAAGGGAGGAUUUCUCGAAUACAGAAAGGGUUGUUUCACGUGACAAUGAGAGGAUGUAUGAAAGGGUUGUUUCACGUGACAAUGAGAGGAUGCAUAGUAUUGCAAGAAAUGGAUCCAACCAGGCAAGUACUAGCAAAACCACAAUCCAAAAGCAUCCAAGCAGGGGUCCCAUUGC
Molecule: long non-coding RNA, 265 nt
Filed under: Zea mays
Lineage: Eukaryota; Viridiplantae; Streptophyta; Magnoliopsida; Poales; Poaceae
Description: long non-coding RNA (ZMAY_LNC000602)
Source: RNAcentral